This 29-nucleotide non-coding RNA is filed under the name Mus musculus (house mouse). Lineage: Eukaryota; Metazoa; Chordata; Mammalia; Rodentia; Muridae. The record is from RNAcentral.
UGGGCAAGUUUGGAGUAGCUCCCUAAUAA